This 698-nucleotide ribosomal RNA is filed under the name Klebsiella pneumoniae. Its description in RNAcentral is "bacterial SSU rRNA". It matches the Rfam family "Bacterial small subunit ribosomal RNA", at positions 72 to 764 of the family's 1533-position model. Lineage: Bacteria; Pseudomonadati; Pseudomonadota; Gammaproteobacteria; Enterobacterales; Enterobacteriaceae. The record is from RNAcentral.
UAGCUUGCUCUCGGGUGACGAGCGGCGGACGGGUGAGUAAUGUCUGGGAAACUGCCUGAUGGAGGGGGAUAACUACUGGAAACGGUAGCUAAUACCGCAUAACGUCGCAAGACCAAAGUGGGGGACCUUCGGGCCUCAUGCCAUCAGAUGUGCCCAGAUGGGAUUAGCUAGUAGGUGGGGUAACGGCUCACCUAGGCGACGAUCCCUAGCUGGUCUGAGAGGAUGACCAGCCACACUGGAACUGAGACACGGUCCAGACUCCUACGGGAGGCAGCAGUGGGGAAUAUUGCACAAUGGGCGCAAGCCUGAUGCAGCCAUGCCGCGUGUGUGAAGAAGGCCUUCGGGUUGUAAAGCACUUUCAGCGGGGAGGAAGGCGUUAAGGUUAAUAACCUUGGCGAUUGACGUUACCCGCAGAAGAAGCACCGGCUAACUCCGUGCCAGCAGCCGCGGUAAUACGGAGGGUGCAAGCGUUAAUCGGAAUUACUGGGCGUAAAGCGCACGCAGGCGGUCUGUCAAGUCGGAUGUGAAAUCCCCGGGCUCAACCUGGGGAACUGCAUUCGAAACUGGCAAGCUAGAGUCUUGUAGAGGGGGGGGUAGAAUUCCAGGUGGUAGCGGUGAAUGCGUAUAGAUCUGGAGGAAUACCAGUGGCGAAUGCCGCCCCCUGGACAAAGACUGACGCUUCAGGUGCUAAAGCGUGG